AAAAAAACUAAACCUAGGCAUACUACAUUCUGAAUGGAUAAAAACAUUUAUGAAAACUUAAAGUUAUUUACAAACAUGAAAAUAUUGUCCACAUGACUUCUUCGGUUUGAACGUGCGGAGCCACUUCUUCGAAUCUUUCAUCAGGAAUUUGUCAUUUAUAACGGUUCUUUGCCGGUUUCGGAUCGACGGAUUCGCCAGUCCACUCUGUUAUUUACAUUGUACAUAUAUAUACAUUGUCUCCACAACACAAAAGUUUCGAUAUACAACGUUACUGCUAGUCUGUUGUAACAUCUCAGAGUCAUCUCAGGUUUCUAUUCAUUCAACAAUUCUCACAGGCGUUCUUCUAAUGUUCUUCAAAGUUCGAGGAUAAUGCGUUUCCAUAAAACCAAGGAAACAAAAUGACUGACACAAAAGUUUCACAAAUAUUUACAACAAGUCACUUACAUUAAUAUGUAUACAAAGUCAUCCUAACUCAAUUCUCCGUGGCAUACAUUUCUCACUUCAGUUAUCCUAUAGUUUCUCUUGAACGGAAGCCCAAAUUGCUUCUGUUUUCGGCACACGCCAUAACACAUGAUAACUUUGUAAUUCGUCCAGAUUUCAGACACAUCAUAACUCCGGUUACUGACAUAUUGACCA
Molecule: long non-coding RNA, 636 nt
Filed under: Mytilus galloprovincialis (Mediterranean mussel)
Lineage: Eukaryota; Metazoa; Mollusca; Bivalvia; Mytilida; Mytilidae
Source: RNAcentral